UCGUGGAAACGCGAGCUAAUACCGCAUACGCCCUACGGGGGAAAGCGGGGGAUCUUCGGACCUCGUGCUAUUAGAUGAGCCUGCGUAAGAUUAGCUAGUUGGUGGGGUAAUGGCCUACCAAGGCGACGAUCUUUAGCUGGUCUGAGAGGAUGAUCAAGCCACACCGGGACUGAGACACGGCCCGGACUCCUACGGGAGGCAGCAGUCGGGAAUAUUGCGCAAUGGGCGAAAGCCUGACGCAGCCAUGCCGCGUGUGUGAAGAAGGCCCUAGGGUUGUAAAGCACUUUCAAUUGGGAGGAAAAGCUAAUGGUUAAUAGCCAUUAGCCCUGA
RNAcentral lists this ribosomal RNA (330 nucleotides) under uncultured Gammaproteobacteria bacterium. RNAcentral describes it as "bacterial SSU rRNA". It matches the Rfam family "Bacterial small subunit ribosomal RNA", at positions 148 to 472 of the family's 1533-position model. Lineage: Bacteria; Pseudomonadati; Pseudomonadota; Gammaproteobacteria. The record is from RNAcentral.